Molecule: non-coding RNA, 342 nt
Organism: Paramuricea clavata
Lineage: Eukaryota; Metazoa; Cnidaria; Anthozoa; Malacalcyonacea; Plexauridae
Source: the annotation of a GenBank genome assembly
AUAUUCUUUCUUUGCUAUAUUAUCUGCAAGACUGUAUACAUGUACAUACAGACAACAUAUAUUCUGUUUAAUACGUCCGGUCUAAACGCUGCAUUUUACAUGUGCCAAGUCUAGAAAAGUUUGUUCAACCUUUUAAGUGCUACCAAAUUAUUUUACUCAGCUUAACAUGCCAGAUGAUUGAGUGUACUGGUCAAUGCGAGAGUGCUACUGCUCCAGGCCUUAAAAUAUCGGUCGGUCACGGACAUUGUCCGACCCAUUCGUGAAAUUUUCCGACGUAGAGAGGAAACCACCGGACAUUCUGUCCGACCUAAGUGAAACUGAGGUUUCUUGUUUGUCCGACCC